This 462-nucleotide long non-coding RNA is filed under the name Zostera marina. RNAcentral's name for it is "long non-coding RNA (ZMAR_LNC003815)". Lineage: Eukaryota; Viridiplantae; Streptophyta; Magnoliopsida; Alismatales; Zosteraceae. The record is from RNAcentral.
UCAAACUCCUCGGCCCUUGCCUGAUCCGAACUUGAUCCCAUCGCCUCCUUGACCCCUUCUUUUCAGUUGAAGAUUGUAAUAACCGAACACAUGAAAAACGAACGGGCCAUGGAUUGGGACCCGACCCGAUUAACAUUGGCUCUGAUCUUGAAUUCAUUGUUUUUCUUUGCAUUGCAGGUGCAGUGUUGAGGAGGAGACUGGGGAGACAGAGGAGCGAUCAAGAAAGCAAGAGAGUUAAGGUAUCGUGAACCUGUUGUUGAUUCUUCUAUUGAAGAAUGGAUUGGAUGACUUUUCAGAUUUGACUUUAGCUGGUGAAAUAGAAAAAGAUGAUUAUAAUAUUUUUGUUGAGCACGCCUUUUGGAGUGAUCGUGAGGAGGAUCUGAAUUCAGAUGGUGAAAAGGCAGAUGGUGUUCUUGCAGUAGAAAUACGUACUACUUCCUCCUUAUCCAAGGGGAAUGCGAU